RNAcentral lists this ribosomal RNA (433 nucleotides) under uncultured bacterium. RNAcentral's name for it is "partial 16S ribosomal RNA". It matches the Rfam family "Bacterial small subunit ribosomal RNA", at positions 29 to 507 of the family's 1533-position model. The record is from RNAcentral.
AACGAACGCUGGCGGCAUGCCUAACACAUGCAAGUCGAACGAGACCUUCGGGUCUAGUGGCGCACGGGUGCGUAACGCGUGGGAACCUUCCCUUAGGUUCGGAAUAACUCCCCGAAAGGGGUGCUAAUACCGGAUAAUGUCUUCGGCCCAAAGAUUUAUCGCCUUUGGAUGGGCCCGCAUUGGAUUAGCUAGUUGGUAGGGUAAAAGCCUACCAAGGCGACGAUCCAUAGCUGGUCUGAGAGGAUGAUCAGCCACACUGGGACUGAGACACGGCCCAGACUCCUACGGGAGGCAGCAGUGGGGAAUAUUGGACAAUGGGCGAAAGCCUGAUCCAGCAAUGCCGCGUGAGUGAUGAAGGCCUUAGGGUUGUAAAGCUCUUUUACCCGGGAUGAUAAUGACAGUACCGGGAGAAUAAGCGCCGGCUAACUCCGUG